This 498-nucleotide long non-coding RNA is filed under the name Gorilla gorilla gorilla (western lowland gorilla). Its description in RNAcentral is "lncRNA (ENSGGOG00000044352.1)". Lineage: Eukaryota; Metazoa; Chordata; Mammalia; Primates; Hominidae. The record is from RNAcentral.
CCCAGCCCUACACAUCAGUGGUUCUCAGCCCUGGCUGCACAUUGGAAUCACCUGCAGGCUUUUAAAACCCACAAUGCCCAGGCUUUACCUCCCAGAGACUCUGAUUUAAUAGUGCAGGUCAGUCAAAGGGAGCACCAUUUGAAAGUAGGAUGGAUGGAUAAUUGAGCAAAAGAAUACAUUCUGGUCACCAAAACAAUGUGAAGUGAAACUCCAAGGAACAGCCUGGUAGAGUAUCGACAGUUGGGGAAAAAAAAGACAGGAGAGACACAUUUGCUGCCUCCCAAUGCUCGGAGAUCAUCGCACAGGAAGCAGCAGGAUGCUGGGGCAGGCUUGCCCAGUGAUGACCUGAACCAGGGACCACAAGGAACCAAGAGCUGCCAGAAGACAAAAGAGCUCAGAGGGAUGGAGGCCAGGGGAAAACUGAGAUGUGGGAGUAGGAAGACAACUCCACCCCACCACCACUAAAUACAGGAGCACGUGACCCUUAAGAAGACCGGG